Molecule: ribosomal RNA, 321 nt
Filed under: Triticum aestivum (bread wheat)
Lineage: Eukaryota; Viridiplantae; Streptophyta; Magnoliopsida; Poales; Poaceae
Description: partial small subunit ribosomal RNA
Source: RNAcentral
AUGGAGGCCGUCGUGUUGGUCCUGCCUCAUGCCCAUCCAGGGAAGAGACCGGUUAACUUGCAAGAGGUAGCUUUCUCCUUCCUCUGUGCUGAUGCUGGUGGGAGAUCCUGCUUUGUCUGGGCGGAUGGCCCGGCCGCGGUGCUGGACCGGUCGAAUGACUCGGGUUCUCUUCCUUCUGGAAGGGACACUUUUCGCGGUACUCAAAGCCAAAGAUGGCGGCGGCUGUUGCAGGUGUGUUGGAUUGAUGUCCAUGCCCUCUCAGCGUUGGUGUCAAGAAAGGAGGAAGCAGCGUGGCGGCAAUUGUACCGUGGUCGAAGAUGA